Molecule: ribosomal RNA, 495 nt
Filed under: uncultured bacterium
Lineage: Bacteria
Description: partial 16S ribosomal RNA
Rfam family: Bacterial small subunit ribosomal RNA
Source: RNAcentral
GACGAACGCUGGCGGCGUGCCUAAUACAUGCAAGUAGAACGCUGAAGGAGGAGCUUGCUUCUCUGGAUGAGUUGCGAACGGGUGAGUAACGCGUAGGUAACCUGCCUGGUAGCGGGGGAUAACUAUUGGAAACGAUAGCUAAUACCGCAUAAGAGUAGAUGUUGCAUGACAUUUGCUUAAAAGGUGCAAUUGCAUCACUACCAGAUGGACCUGCGUUGUAUUAGCUAGUUGGUGGGGUAACGGCUUACCAAGGCGACGAUACAUAGCCGACCUGAGAGGGGGAUCGGCCACACUGGGACUGAGACACGGCCCAGACUCCUACGGGAGGCAGCAGUAGGGAAUCUUCGGCAAUGGACGGAAGUCUGACCGAGCAACGCCGCGUGAGUGAAGAAGGUUUUCGGAUCGUAAAGCUCUGAUGUAAGAGAAGAACGAGUGUGAGAGUGGAAAGUUCACACUGUGACGGUAUCUUACCAGAAAGGGACGGCUAACUACGUG